UAAUUAUGUGAUGAUUUAUUUACCGCCCCAGUCUGAAACCGGUGACUGAUUGGUUUUUCUGAUCACAU
Small nucleolar RNA from Tribolium madens (black flour beetle), 68 nucleotides. The record is from RefSeq and is a predicted model, not a curated record. Lineage: Eukaryota; Metazoa; Arthropoda; Insecta; Coleoptera; Tenebrionidae.